Molecule: ribosomal RNA, 420 nt
Filed under: uncultured bacterium
Lineage: Bacteria
Description: bacterial SSU rRNA
Rfam family: Bacterial small subunit ribosomal RNA
Source: RNAcentral
AGUGGCGAACGGGUGAGUAAUACAUCGGAACGUAACCCUGAAGUGGGGGAGUAACGUAGCGAAAGUUACGCUAAUACCGCAUAUUCUGUGAGCAGGAAAGAGGGGGAUCGCAAGACCUCUUGCUUUAGGAGCGGCCGAUGUCGGAUUAGCUAGUUGGUGAGGUAAAGGCUCACCAAGGCGACGAUCCGUAGCGGGUCUGAGAGGAUGAUCCGCCACACUGGGACUGAGACACGGCCCCAGACUCCUACGGGAGGCAGCAGUGGGGAAUUUUGGACAAUGGGCGCAAGCCUGAUCCAGCCAUGCCGCGUGAGUGAAGAAGGCCUUCGGGUUGUAAAGCUCUUUCGGUGGGGAAGAAAUUGCUUCGGUUAAUACCUGGAGUAGAUGACGGUACCCGCAUAAGAAGCACCGGCUAACUACGUG